UCUUCCGUAGUAUAGUGGUCAGUAUGUGAGCUUGUCAUCGUCGACUUCGCUCGAGACCCGGGUUCAAUUCCCGGCGGGAGAG
This is a non-coding RNA of Dichotomopilus funicola, 82 nucleotides long. The record is from the annotation of a RefSeq genome assembly. Lineage: Eukaryota; Fungi; Ascomycota; Sordariomycetes; Sordariales; Chaetomiaceae.